GGCAGGGUAGAUCAGCGGGAGAUCGCCCGACGUGUACAGCCGGGAGGCACGCCGGUUCGAAUCCGGCCCCUGCCG
This 75-nucleotide transfer RNA is filed under the name Phycisphaerae bacterium. Its description in RNAcentral is "tRNA-Tyr". It matches the Rfam family "tRNA". From Rfam's summary of the family: Transfer RNA (tRNA) molecules are approximately 80 nucleotides in length. Their secondary structure includes four short double-helical elements and three loops (D, anti-codon, and T loops). Lineage: Bacteria; Pseudomonadati; Planctomycetota; Phycisphaerae. The record is from RNAcentral.